RNAcentral lists this ribosomal RNA (1986 nucleotides) under human gut metagenome. RNAcentral describes it as "bacterial LSU rRNA". It matches the Rfam family "Bacterial large subunit ribosomal RNA", at positions 774 to 2760 of the family's 2925-position model. The record is from RNAcentral.
CCGAACCGACUAGUGUUGCAAAAUUAGCGGAUGAGCUGUGGAUAGGGGUGAAAGGCUAAACAAAUCUGGAGAUAGCUGGUUCUCCCCGAAAACUAUUGAGGUAGUGCCUCGUGUAUGACUCCAGGGGGUAGAGCACUGUUAUGGCUAGGGGGACAUGGCGUCUUACCAAACCAUGGCAAACUCCGAAUACUUGGAAGUUUGAGCACGGGAGACAGAGCACCGGGUGCUAACGUCCGGACUCAAGAGGGAAACAACCCAGACCGCCGGCUAAGGUCCCUAAUAUUGACUAAGUGGAAAACGAAGUGGAAAGGCUAAGACAGUCAGGAAGUUGGCUUAGAAGCAGCCAUCCUUCAAAGAAAGCGUAAUAGCUCACUGAUCGAGUCUUUCUGCGCGGAAGAUGUAACGGGGCUAAGUCAAUAACCGAAGCCGCGGAUUCACACUUGUGUGUGAGUGGUAGGGGAGCGUUCUGUAAGCCUGCGAAGGUGACUCGUAAGGGUUGCUGGAGGUAUCAGAAGUGCGAAUGCUGACAUGAGUAACGUUAAAGCGGGUGAAAAGCCCGCUCGCCGUAAGCCCAAGGUUUCCUGCUCUACGUUCAUCGGAGCAGGGUGAGUCGGCCCCUAAGGUGAGGCUGAGAAGCGUAACUGAUGGGAACAAGGUUAAUAUUCCUUGACCACCGCUGAAUGCGAAGGGGGGACGGAGUAUUGAAGAUCAUCCGGGUGUUGGAUAUCCCGGUUUGCGAGCGUAGGAGGCUGACAGGCAAAUCCGUCAGCGAAUCUCCGAGGCAAAGCAUCGAGCUCUCUUUUGAGCGAAGUGAUUGGAUGUGCUUCCAGGAAAAGCCUCUAAGCUCCAGUUCAGCGGGACCGUACCGCAAACCGACACUGGUGGGCGAGCUGAAUAUGCUCAGGCGCUUGAGAGAACUCAGGAGAAGGAACUCGGCAAAUUGACACCGUAACUUCGGGAUAAGGUGUGCCUUUGUAGCGUGGAGGGAGAAACACCCCGAGCGCGAAGAGGUCUCAGAUAAUCGGUGGCUGCGACUGUUUAUUAAAAACACAGCACUCUGCAAAGACGAAAGUCGACGUAUAGGGUGUGAUGCCUGCCCGGUGCUGGAAGAUUAAUUGAUGGGGUGCAAGCUCCUGAUCGAAGUCCCAGUAAACGGCGGCCGUAACUAUAACGGUCCUAAGGUAGCGAAAUUCCUUGUCGGGCAAGUUCCGACCUGCACGAAUGGCAUAACGAUGGCCACACUGUCUCCUCCUGAGACUCAGUGAAGUUGAAGUGUUUGUGAUGAUGCAAUCUCCCCGCGGCUAGACGGAAAGACCCCAUGAACCUUUACUGUAGCUUUGCAUUGGACUUUGAACCGAUCUGUGUAGGAUAGGCGGGAGCCUGUGAAACCACAACGCCAGUUGUGGCGGAGGCGUCCUUGAAAUACCGCCCUGAUUUGUUUGAGGUUCUAACCUGGGACAGUCAUCCUGUCCGGGGACCGUGCAUGGUAGGCAGUUUGACUGGGGCGGUCUCCUCCUAAAGGGUAACGGAGGAGUGCGAAGGUACGCUAGGUACGGUCGGAAAUCGUGCUGAUAGUGCAAUGGCAAAAGCGUGCUUGACUGCGAGACCCACAAGUCGAGCAGAUACGAAAGUAGGUCAUAGUGAUCCGGUGGCUCUGUAUGGAAGGGCCAUCGCUCAACGGAUAAAAGGUACUCUGGGGAUAACAGGCUGAUACCGCCCAAGAGUUCAUAUCGACGGCGGUGUUUGGCACCUCGAUGUCGGCUCAUCUCAUCCUGGGGCUGUAGCCGGUCCCAAGGGUAUGGCUGUUCGCCAUUUAAAGAGGUACGUGAGCUGGGUUUAAAACGUCGUGAGACAGUUUUGUCCCUAUCUGCCGUGGGCGCUGGAAGAUUGACGGGGGCUGCUCCUAGUACGAGAGGACCGGAGUGGACUCACCUCUGGUGUACCGGUUGUCACGCCAGUGGCAUCGCCGGGUAGCUAUGUGGGGAA